CUGGAAGAAACCCUCACCCAGUUUCCCCUGCAGCCUGGGCAGGUGGCCACCUUCACUGUCACCAUGAAAGCGAGCCUGGACUUCUCCUGCCAGGAGGGUCUCCUGCAGGACCUGAGUGACGGUGGUUGUCCUAAAGGAGUGGAAUGCUGUGAUUUCCACCCCCCCGAAGUGUACCUGCUGUGUUGGUGGGACACAGUGGUGAUGAUGGAGUUCUCCCAUCUGGUGAUGCCAGUAAGGAGACGGAGCUGGGGGCAAUGGGAAUUGUAUCUGCUGCAGCAAUAGGCCUGGCCUUGUGGGGACGUGAGUUCACAGGUUAGCUGUGUCAUGUUGUCACAUGCACUUCUGGAGGCCUUGGGCUUGUGUUAGUCAGCUCAGGCUGCUGUAACAAACCCCACAGCUGGCCUGGCCCGGACACAGGCGUUGAUUUUCUGCUGGUUCUCAGCAUUGCAAGUCUGACCCAGGUGCUAGCAUGGUUGGGUUCCUGGUGAGGGCGGCCAUCUUCUUGCUUUGUUCUCAUUGGGUGGAGGCAGAUCAGCUCUCUGGUAUUCUUCCCCUUCCCUUUUUUGUUUUUUAAGAUUUAUUUAUUUACUUGAGGGGCAGUUAUGGGUGUGUGGUGAGGUAGAAACACACAGGGACGCAUGUGCGCACACACACACAUGCACAGAAACACACAGAGUGGGAGAGAAGAAAAUCUUCCAUCUGCUGGUUCACUCCCCAAAUAGCCACAAUGGCAGGAAUUGUGCCUGGCAGAAGUCAGGAACCUGGAACACCAUCUAGGUUUCCAGUGUGUGUGUCAACGUCCCAAGCUUGAGCCAUGUCCUGCUCCUUUUCCCGGCACAUUAGCAGAGAACUGGAUCAGAAGUGGAGUAGCCAAGACAUGAACUGGUGUUCACAUGGGGUGCUGGGGACACAGGUGGUGACUUAACCCCCUGUGCUGCAACACCAGCCCCAGUAAGAACAUUUCAAUCCUGUGUUUUAAGGACUUUGGAGUCUUCAUAUACAGUGCAUGACUUUCGUCUCCAUGAACAUGCUAGCCUGCGCAAGCCGUGAGGAGAGGAGCCGUCCUCGUCGCUGCUGGCCGAGCCUGAGGAGACCCAGCGGCCCCAGGGUCAGGCCGGGAUGAGGAGAGGCUGCGUGUCCGAGGCUGCCGCGCCGUUUCCCAGGCGCAUUUCUCCUCUUCGGCCCCAUCCGGAAACGACGGCCUUCGCGGACCUCUGUCCCACCAGCAGACCGGACCCCCCUUGGAGAGAAGCUGUACGGUGACUUCCUGAGCUGGAAGCUGGAAGAAACCCUCACCCAGUUUCCCCUGCAGCCUGGGCAGAUGGCCACCUUCACUGUCACCAUGAAAGCGAGCCUGGACUUCUCCUGCCAGGAGGGUCU
Oryctolagus cuniculus (rabbit) is the source of this 1380-nucleotide non-coding RNA. The record is from RefSeq and is a predicted model, not a curated record. NCBI's taxonomy places the organism in Eukaryota, Metazoa, Chordata, Mammalia, Lagomorpha, Leporidae.